This 433-nucleotide ribosomal RNA is filed under the name uncultured bacterium. Its description in RNAcentral is "partial 16S ribosomal RNA". It matches the Rfam family "Bacterial small subunit ribosomal RNA", at positions 29 to 507 of the family's 1533-position model. The record is from RNAcentral.
AACGAACGCUGGCGGCAUGCCUAACACAUGCAAGUCGAACGAGACCUUCGGGUCUAGUGGCGCACGUGUGCGUAACGCGUGGGAACCUGCCCUUAGGUUCGGAAUAACUCCCCGAAAGGGGUGCUAAUACCGGACAAUGUCUUCGGACCAAAGAUUUAUCGCCUUUGGAUGGGCCCGCGUUGGAUUCGCUAGUUGGUAGGGUAAAAGCCUACCAAGGCGACGAUCCAUAGCUGGUCUGAGAGGAUGAUCAGCCACACUGGGACUGCGACACGGCCCAGACUCCUACGGGAGGCAGCAGUGGGGAAUAUUGGACAAUGGGCGAAAGCCUGAUCCAGCAAUGCCGCGUGAGUGAUGAAGGCCUUAGGGUUGUAAAGCUCUUUUACCCGGGAUGAUAAUGACAGUACCGGGAGAAUAAGCUCCGGCUAACUCCGUG